This 497-nucleotide ribosomal RNA is filed under the name uncultured bacterium. RNAcentral describes it as "partial 16S ribosomal RNA". It matches the Rfam family "Bacterial small subunit ribosomal RNA", at positions 28 to 507 of the family's 1533-position model. The record is from RNAcentral.
GAUGAACGCUGGCGGCGUGCCUAAUACAUGCAAGUCGAGCGAACGGACGAGAAGCUUGCUUCUCUGAUGUUAGCGGCGGACGGGUGAGUAACACGUGGAUAACCUACCUAUAAGACUGGGAUAACUUCGGGAAACCGGAACUAAUACCGGAUGAUAUUUUGAACCGCAUGGUUCAAAAGUGAAAGACGGUCUUGCUGUCACGUAUAGAUGGAUCCGCGCUGCAUUAGCUAGUUGGUAAGGUAACGGCUUACCAAGGCAACGAUGCAUAGCCGACCUGAGAGGGUGAUCGGCCACACUGGAACUGAGACACGGUCCAGACUCCUACGGGAGGCAGCAGUAGGGAAUCUUCCGCAAAGGGCGAAAGCCUGACGGAGCAACGCCGCGUGAGUGAUGAAGGUCUUCGGAUCGUAAAACUCUGUUAUUAGGGAAGAACAUAUGUGUAAGUAACUGUGCACAUCUUGACGGUACCUAAUCAGAAAGCCACGGCUAACUACGUG